AUUGAACGCUGGCGGCAUGCCUUACACAUGCAAGUCGAACGGCAGCACGGGGGCAACCCUGGUGGCGAGUGGCGAACGGGUGAGUAACAUAUCGGAACAUACCCUAGAGUGGGGGAUAACGUAGCGAAAGUUACGCUAAUACCGCAUACGAUCUAAGGAUGAAAGUGGGGGAUCUUCGGACCUCAUGCUCAUGGAGUGGCCGAUAUCUGAUUAGCUAGUUGGUGAGGUAAAGGCUCACCAAGGCGACGAUCAGUAGCUGGUUUGAGAGAACGACCAGCCACACUGGAACUGAGACACGGUCCAGACUCCUACGGAGGCAGCAGUGGGGAAUUUUGGACAAUGGGGGCAACCCUGAUCCAGCAAUGCCGCGUGAGUGAAGAAGGCCUUCGG
This 390-nucleotide ribosomal RNA is filed under the name uncultured bacterium. RNAcentral describes it as "bacterial SSU rRNA". It matches the Rfam family "Bacterial small subunit ribosomal RNA", at positions 30 to 421 of the family's 1533-position model. The record is from RNAcentral.